Molecule: ribosomal RNA, 119 nt
Filed under: Pteropus alecto (black flying fox)
Lineage: Eukaryota; Metazoa; Chordata; Mammalia; Chiroptera; Pteropodidae
Source: RNAcentral
GUCUACAGCCAUGCCACCCUGAACAAGCCCGAUUCUGUCUGAUCUCAGAAGCUAAGCAGGGUCGGGCCUGGUUAGUACUUGCACAGAAGACCACGUAGGAAGACCAGGCGCUGUAGACA